Molecule: ribosomal RNA, 89 nt
Filed under: Listeria welshimeri
Lineage: Bacteria; Bacillati; Bacillota; Bacilli; Caryophanales; Listeriaceae
Source: RNAcentral
UCUGGUAGUUAUGGCGAGAAGGUCACACCCGUUCCCAUCCCGAACACGGUAGUUAAGCUUCUCUGCGCCAAUGGUAGUUGGGGGUUUCC